RNAcentral lists this ribosomal RNA (771 nucleotides) under uncultured bacterium. Its description in RNAcentral is "bacterial SSU rRNA". It matches the Rfam family "Bacterial small subunit ribosomal RNA", at positions 8 to 796 of the family's 1533-position model. The record is from RNAcentral.
AGAGUUUGAUCAUGGCUCAGGACGAACGCUGGCGGCGUGCUUAACACAUGCAAGUCGAACGGAAAGGCCCUUCGGGGUACUCGAGUGGCGAACGGGUGAGUAACACGUGGGUGAUCUGCCCUGCACUUUGGGAUAAGCCUGGGAAACUGGGUCUAAUACCGAAUAUGACCAUGCGCCUCCUGGUGUGUGGUGGAAAGCUUUUGCGGUGUGGGAUGGGCCCGCGGCCUAUCAGCUUGUUGGUGGGGUAAUGGCCUACCAAGGCGACGACGGGUAGCCGGCCUGAGAGGGUGACCGGCCACACUGGGACUGAGAUACGGCCCAGACUCCUACGGGAGGCAGCAGUGGGGAAUAUUGCACAAUGGGCGCAAGCCUGAUGCAGCGACGCCGCGUGAGGGAUGACGGCCUUCGGGUUGUAAACCUCUUUCAGCACAGACAAAGCGCAAGUGACGGUAUGUGCAGAAGAAGGACCGGCCAACUACGUGCCAGCAGCCGCGGUAAUACGUAGGGUCCGAGCGUUGUCCGGAAUUACUGGGCGUAAAGAGCUCGUAGGUGGUUUGUCGCGUUGUUCGUGAAAACUCACAGCUUAACUGUGGGCGUGCGGGCGAUACGGGCAGACUUGAGUACUGCAGGGGAGACUGGAAUUCCUGGUGUAGCGGUGGAAUGCGCAGAUAUCAGGAGGAACACCGGUGGCGAAGGCGGGUCUCUGGGCAGUAACUGACGCUGAGGAGCGAAAGCGUGGGGAGCGAACAGGAUUAGAUACCCCGGUAGUCC